Molecule: ribosomal RNA, 498 nt
Filed under: uncultured Massilia sp.
Lineage: Bacteria; Pseudomonadati; Pseudomonadota; Betaproteobacteria; Burkholderiales; Oxalobacteraceae
Description: bacterial SSU rRNA
Rfam family: Bacterial small subunit ribosomal RNA
Source: RNAcentral
UUUGAUCCUGGCUCAGAUUGAACGCUGGCGGCAUGCUUUACACAUGCAAGUCGAACGGCAGCGCGGGGCAACCUGGCGGCGAGUGGCGAACGGGUGAGUAAUAUAUCGGAACGUACCCAAGAGUGGGGGAUAACGUAGCGAAAGUUACGCUAAUACCGCAUACGAUCUAAGGAUGAAAGCAGGGGAUCUUCGGACCUUGUGCUCCUGGAGCGGCCGAUAUCUGAUUAGCUAGUUGGUGAGGUAAAGGCUCACCAAGGCCACGAUCAGUAGCUGGUCUGAGAGGACGACCAGCCACACUGGAACUGAGACACGGUCCAGACUCCUACGGGAGGCAGCAGUGGGGAAUUUUGGACAAUGGGCGAAAGCCUGAUCCAGCAAUGCCGCGUGAGUGAAGAAGGCCUUCGGGUUGUAAAGCUCUUUUGUCAGGGAAGAAACGGUGAGGGCUAAUAUCCUUCACUAAUGACGGUACCUGAAGAAUAAGCACCGGCUAACUACGUG